Molecule: long non-coding RNA, 333 nt
Filed under: Ananas comosus (pineapple)
Lineage: Eukaryota; Viridiplantae; Streptophyta; Magnoliopsida; Poales; Bromeliaceae
Description: long non-coding RNA (ACOM_LNC004785)
Source: RNAcentral
UUUUAAAUCUAAAAUUUAACUAAGGGCAAUUUUGAAAUAAACUAUGUUUUAGUGUCAAAAUUACUGAAUUUUAUAAACUGAACCAAAUAUAAUAAUAUUAUAAAUACUGCAAUCAAGUAGUACAUUAUUGUAUUAAACCAAACGCGUUAAUGUAGCAUCAGUAGUAAUCUUAUUUAAAAAUUCAAGAUAUCUGGAUAUAUCGAAAUACUCUGUAAUAUUAUAUACGCCAAACCAAACGCGCCCUUAAGAAACAAAUCAUAACUCUAACAAGCUAAGUUUAUUUCUAAAUGAAAUAAACGAAGCGGGUAGCGUGCUAUCUAUCUCCCUCAAAAA